This 229-nucleotide ribosomal RNA is filed under the name uncultured bacterium. RNAcentral's name for it is "partial 16S ribosomal RNA". It matches the Rfam family "Bacterial small subunit ribosomal RNA", at positions 568 to 796 of the family's 1533-position model. The record is from RNAcentral.
UGCGUAGGCGGUCCGGCAAGUUGGGUGUGAAAGCCCUCGGCUCAACCGAGGAAUUGCGCCCAAAACUGCCGGACUUGAGGGAGACAGAGGCGAGCGGAACUUAGGGUGGAGCGGUGAAAUGCGUUGAUAUCCUAAGGAACACCGGUGGCGAAGGCGGCUCGCUGGGUCUCUUCUGACGCUGAGGCACGAAAGCUAGGGGAGCGAACAGGAUUAGAUACCCUGGUAGUCC